CCGCCGGGCCCGUCCAGCGACACUGACCUGUCGUCGCCCCCGCGCCUGGGAUGCGGCCUCUCGGGUCGUAGUCACCCUCGCCCGCGCCUCCGCCCACCACCGCCCCGUUCCCGGUCGCUGCCGCCACCGCCGGGGCUCAUGCGGGACCCGCGCCGCCUUCUCCGGAAGCCGGGCCGGGACACGGCGCGCCUGGGCCGCCGAGAACCCGACGCUCGUCGCCAGCCGCCGCUGUCGGUGCGCGCCGAGGGGUUGCGGAGCCGCCUGGCAGGGGCUGCAGGCCGCGAGCGACGCCGAGGAGGCGCUGAGGGUCGGCGGAGGCGAAGCUAAGCGGGCAGCGGGCGGCUGCGCAGCGGCGGGGCGCACGAGCGAGGGCUGGGUGGUGCGUCGCGGUCUAGGCGGAGAGGGAGCGGGCCCUGUCGUCUCCCAGAGUCACCCCGAUCCCAGCGCCACCAUCUUGGGAGGAACACUGAUCUCGCGACCGCGGCGCCAAACGGGAGGACGGGCUGGGCGGGCCGAGUAUCCCGGCAGGCAGCGCGCGCCGCCCGGCCGGGCGAGGGCUUCAAGCCGAGACGCGAGGAGUCGGGGCCGGACGGAACGCACGCGGAGGGCGCCGCGCUCGGCCCCACCCCCGGCCAGCUCGCCCCCCUCCGGCUUCCCGUCGCCCCCGGCGCAGGGGCGGCUGGGAAGGGGAGAUGAGGGCUCGCGGCUCGGCCGAACCCACCGGGGCCGGCCGCCAUCUUAGGACUGGGCAAAGGGGUUAACACUCACCUCACUCUGUGCUGUCGGUGGCCGAGCAGAAAGAACCAGGUUGUGCUCUAAAAGGAGUGGAGCGAAGCCUGAUGGUGGCAUGCACCUGUAGUGCAAACUGUUCAGGAAGAUGGAUCAAGAGAUCACUUGAGCCCGGUUCAAGACUUCAAGGCCAGCCUAGGCAACAUAGCAAGGCCCUAUCUCAAGAAGGAAGAGGAGGAAAGGAAGAAAUGGAAUGUCCCCUUGCCAUUUCCCUCUGUCCCUUUCUGGUGAUUGGAAUGACAAAGGCCAGGGCCAGCUGAUGAUCUUGUCACAGUGCCUCAGCCAGAGCUCAGUGAACGGCUGCCAAAAAAGACUUCUGAAUGGCCAACAAGUACAUGAAAAAGUGCUCCAUGCCCUGAGUCAUUGGAGAAGCGAAAAGCAAAACCGCAAGGAAAUAUUAUCCCACCCCAGUGACAGUGGCUGUUAUCAGAAAACCAAGACAUAGCAAAUGCUGGCAAGGAUAUGGAGAACAGGGAAGACUUGAACACUGUUUUGGGGAAUGUAAAUCAGUACAGCUAUUAUGAAGAUCAGGAGGGAGGUGCCUCAAAAAAUUAAAAAUAGAAUCACCACAAUGGGCAAACAUCCAAAGCAAAUGAUGCCAGUCUAUCAGAGACACCACAGCCCCAUGUUUACUACCCCAAUAUUCACAGCAGCCAAAAUAUGGAACCAACCAAGGUGUCUGAAUGGAUAAAGAAAAUGUGGGACAUAUGCAAUGAGAUAUUAUUCAGCCAUAAAAAGAAUGAAAACCUUUUGCACCAGAACGGCCAGGACUGGAGGGCAUGGUGUUCAAUGAAGUAAACCAGGAUCAGAAAAACAAAUAGCACAUAUUCUCUCUCAUAUGAGGAAGCCUGAAAAGUUAUCUCCAAGAGAGCCAGGUAGUGAUUACUAGAGGCUGACAAGGGCAGAAGGUAAUGAGUAUAGAGGGUGGGUGGAUAAUAAAUACCAGUGCAGUGCAACAGGAAGAACAAGUUCUAAGGCUCCGCAGCAUAGCAGGGAGACCAUAGUUUACAAGAGCCUACUGCACAUUUUAUAAAGAACUAGAAGCCAGGAGUUUGAAAUGGCCCAAAGCAAAGAAUGAUAAGGAGAAGAAAAUGUUGAUAUCCUGAUUUUAUUAGCACACAUUGUGAAUAUAUAUAUAGAGAGAAUUAUCAUGCUGUACCCUAUAAAUGUACAUAAUUAUUAUGUAUAUAAAAAUGAAAAGGAAAAGGAGACUGCCCAGGAGACAGGGCUGGGUCUUAGACACACUGAGGAUAGACAAGCUUGGCUUUUCCAGCUGCUGAAGUCUUACUUAUCUGGUUUCCUCGUAGCUAUGCCAUUUGAGAGGCUCCUGGCCAGGGAUGGGCACCUCUGCCAGAGGAACUCCGUCCUGCUGUGACAGAGGAGUCUGUCCAGCGUGGAGAACCAGGAGCUCUCUGGGCUGUGUGUUGGAAGGUUCAGUCUUGCUGCUCGGGGACAGAAAUUGAGUGGGAAGGCAGCCUCCAGACAAGGAGCAUUGUAAGGCUACUAGUUAAACAAGGCCAAACAAAUGAUCGGCUCCUUUCUAGCAACACUUCUGAAAAAAAUUGAAGUAAUUCAAUGUGGCAUAGCAUGACAGCAUGAGAAUGAGAUGUCACCUUCCAUAUUUCGUGACUUGAUAAAAACCCAUUAACGGUACCUGUAAACUUGAAAAAGUGUUUUAAAAGUGUAGAAGUGUUGAUCCUUACUUUCCACAGCAGCUUUUAUCUCUUGGAAUGGAGAUGUUUUGUUUUCACUUGGGCCUGUCCACACCCUGAGAAAAUCCUAGCCAGUCCUAUGCCUGGACAAACUGGCUCUUCACCAGUUGCCUACUUUCAAGCCACUGUGCCCCCAAGGGUCCGAGGUGUGGCCCUGGAGCAGAGCACAGACAGCUGGAGAGCCGAGAAGCCCUCAGCCCUUGCAUCUGCCAGGUUCUGACUUUGUCCACUGCAGUGUUUCUGGUACCCAUGCCACGGACCUAGAGAGAGGAGGGCGGACACAGAUCGAGUCACACACUUAGAAGGACCUGGAAGAAUCGGGAUGGUAGGAAGUUCAGUGUGGCUACUUGAAGACAGGGCAGAGCCCAGAGGUGUGUUCGUGCUGUCCUGUCCAGCCUGGAGGAGAAUGGGCUCUUUACCCUCGGGCUUGGGCUCCUACUGAGGUGAGCUUCCUCCUGCUUCCACCCACACCGACAGAUGCGCCAUUUCCUGUCUUUCUCCUUCCUUCAUCAUCUUCUAGUCUCGAAGAGAAAGGGCCCUUCUGCUGGAGGCUGCUGUAUUCAGGGAAUCCCUCUACCGUAGUAACUCCCAGCCGUGUCCUAAAAUUCACCAAAGACUUCUUAAAAAUUAAAAACAAAACACAGAAGGCUUGGGCUUCAUCCCCAUGUUCUCAUGCUGGAUGUUGGCCGGGACUUUUCAUGUUAAAUCAGCCUGCGAGAUGAGCCGUGUGCAGGCGCUUUCUUUGAGAAAUGCUCCUUCUCCAUGGAGAGGGACUGUCCUCCUCAUCCCAUCUUACUUUUCCUGGCACAUUUCCAAGUUUGUGAAUAUGCUCAAACCUCCUCCAUGAAAAGAGAAUGUUCUCUCAACCACCUCUUCUCCUUCAUCCCCAAGAUUUCCUGAAGGAACAAACCUUCUUGUGUGUUUCUGCUCCUUUUCCUCUUCCAUUCUCUGCAACCCAGUGUCUGUCCCUACCACUCCACACUUGUUCUCAUUACCAGGAAGACAAAUGAAACCCACACACCAACCCACCACGGCCUCUGAGGAAGCCUGCGAAGCCCGCAGGACCCAGCUGCUUCCUGUCCGGUUCCCUGUUGCCGCUGCCUUACAGUCCCUGGUUUUCUUACACUUCCUUGAGCUGCAGAGCUCUCUCCAGCUGCCGAGCCUUCCCGUGCUGCUGUCUGGAGCCCUGCGCCCUCACCAGAUGUUACUUCCCGGUCUUGCGGCUUCAGUAUCCAUCUCGGAGAGGCCUUGCCGCUGCCCCGAGUGCUCUCCCUCUCAGAACCCCUUCUAUUUUCCUUCAGAGCACAUUUUCUAACUGAUGUGUUUACUUAUCCCUACUUCCCCUCACAAGACUGUGAAUUCCAAAGGCGGGUGGCUUUGUGUGUGCAGUUUAUCACUGCACCGAGCCCAGUUCUUGGAGCACAGUAUGUGCUUCACUGAUAGAGAAGGCGAAUCUGUGAAGCCACUUGUCGGUCACUCGUGAUUCUCACCUUCCGGAUUUGCACCCGAGUGCGCGGCUGAGCAGUGAGAAACAGCAGCAAGACUGCUUCAGCAAGGAGCCUGCGGCUGGGCGCGGCGUCUGCCCCGGUGUCCUCAGCCGGAGGCCCAGCACGUCGGCCGGUCCCGGCUGAUCUCCGUGCUCCAAGGCCUUGGGGAGCUUUGCUUUUGAACAAUUUCACUCUGAAGAAUAUCAACAGUCAACUUUUUUCCUCUGUAGAGGAAGACUGCUCCGCUGAUGUCACUGUGAUUACAGGGUAAUCGCAGUAAGUCUCUUGAGACCUUCCCUUUGUUGGUUUUUGCAGAGUGAAUGAAAUAAAAAGAGGACUAAAUCAUUCACUUCCUGUGCAGCACAGUGAGAUCGGGGUUCCCUUAGAAACGACCGUCUCAGGGCGUGGCCUCAGCACCUCGCGUGUACCUCCUGGUUCCUGCGUGUAAGGCCUGAAAUGUUCCCAACCAGACCGCAUGGCACUUUCCUUCUCGGGGCAUAAAUCUGCUGGGUAACAGUGUAUGCCGUGUAUACUGUUAGUGUUCCUAGUGGCUGCUGAAUGGCGUUGCGACUUAACCGGUACUUUGGAGCCCUGAAGACUCCCCCUCCCAAAGCUGCUACCUGCUCAGAGACCUGGAGCUUGCAUGCGCACACACGCCCAAAGUGGGACUUUCACAAACCCUCAGACCCCCUCAAGAUGUUUUCUUAGCAGGCUUUCUGCUAGAUGCCUGAGUUCAAAGAAUGAAGGCCCAGUGCUCACAGGACAAGCAGAGAAGGAUGUGCAAAGGUUCCCACUGUGGACAAUGGGAGCAGAAAUAGGAUUCACAGAGAAGAGAAGGUUUGGAGAGAAAGUGGCACAUUCUGACUUGGAUAUAAGGACUCACAUCUCCAAAGAGCUGUCUACAUGGUGAUGUCUGAUAAACAACCUGUGGACUGGGAGGACAAGCUGGAUGUGGUGGCACAUGCCUGUGAUCCCAGCACUCUGGAGGCUGAGGCAGGAGGAUCGCUGCAAGUUUGAUGCCAGACAGGGUUACAUAGUGAGUUCAAGGCCAGCCUGAACUACACAGCAAGACCCCGUCUCAAAAAAACCAAACCAAAACAAAAGAAAAACCACUGGGAAAAGACGUAAUUUGAUACAAACAGAAGGUGCAGAAGUGUCCCUGGAGCAUGUUUAAAGCCAGCCCUUUAGACAAUGCCCAAGAAAGUCCAGAAAGAAAUGAACCAAGUAUUGUAAUGUGCAAUGACGCUGAGGGCCAAAUUAUACUUAAUAUGAAUUUUGAGAAUCAAUGUAGCAAAAUUUCUCCAGAAAUUCUUGGACAAGAAAAUGAAAAAAGGGGUGGUCAGUGGAAAGAGCAGCAAUGGAGAUUCUGAAUUGAGGUGAAGACCUCCAUUCCCUUGGAAGCGGGCCUUCAGGGGCCAGUGAUGCUCCCUCCUCCCUCUCACCAUCUACCCCUUCUUUACAAGUGAGCAGACAGGGCUGUCAGCCUGAGUCAUUCUAGAGAAGCUCCUAUUCGUAUUCCUAUUCCUGGUGGUGGUUUCCCUGCUACGCCUCGGUCUCCUUGUCUUAUACCAGUGUCCACGCUGCAGAAGAGGGUGUUGCCUUAAUUAGGGGUAAGGAUUGAAUAAGCUGUACCAGCGAUGUCUGCCAAUGCUAACAAACCAGCAAUGUAUAGUGGUGAUAAUGCUCACAGUUCUACUCUGCUGGUGAUCCAAUCUUGUACCAUGUUCAUAUAUACCAAGCUACCGGUCUAACCUGUUUAGACUCCUGGAGAAUUUAAAUGGCCCAAGGUGAAAGUUCUGCCUUUUGGAAGUCCCAGGAGGGACUCCUGUUUAACAGAGAAGAUUGUAAUUAUCCUAAAGAUGUGGCUGCGUGCAAGGGUCUUUCCUCCUGAUGCUUCCUGAUGCCAGGAAACAAACCUGUGGCUUCUAAAAGACCUGUAGGAGAAGUUCUGCUGCUUGGUAGGGCACUGGCUUCAAAUCCCUAUUAUUCAACCCUCUUCCUCUUAUCUUGGCUUUCCCGUCUGCUCUUUCCUCUCUCUCUCUUGGCUUGCCAAGUUUGGGCUUAGUCAGUGCUGUGGUGUUAACACUGCAGCUCAUAAUGUGCCAGCUCACGCUGACUCAGAACCAGAGAGUCAGAUCAGUGCUGUACCCAGAAUGGAGACAAAGGCAGGGCAGAGACAGGAGGCAGGGAGCUUCCUGAGUGCCUGUCUUUGUUCAAGCGUCUUGCUGCUGCCUGAGGGGAGAGGGCAGGGAGAAUCUGAGCGGUGAUGGGCUCCCAGGAGGAAAAUGCUGUGUUAAUAAAGAGGGAAGACUGCAAGUUUUACUCUGUGUGUUCAUUUGUAUGUAUGUAUUUUAAAAUGCCAAUCAUAGAAAUUAUUUUUAACUGAAUAUGUUAUCUGUAUUGUUAUCUAUAUUAUCUACACUGACAUGAAAUUACAAGAACUAAUAUGAAGAGCGCCCACAUAUGCUUUCCAGGUUUCCUCCAAUUGCAGGAUUUUGCAAACUUAGAGUAUAAUAUCACAACUGAGAUGUUAUACAUUUCAGAUUUCUCCAGGGUUGCUUGCACUUGUGUGUGUGUUUAGUUCUACAAAAACUAUUACGUAUGUAGAACUGGCUUUCCACCACUACAGUCAAAAUACCAAGUACCUCAUCAUUACUACAAUCCCGUGAUCCUGUGUUGGCUAAUUCCAACCACAUCCACCUCCUCUGUUCCAUUUUUCAUUCAAUCCCAACCCCGACCUCAUGGCAACUACUGUUCUUAGAUUUCAAAAAUGUUAUGUAAGUGCAAUCAUACAGUAUAUAACUUUUGUGAUUUUUUUCACUCAGAGUAAUGUUCUUGAUUUCCAUUCAGGUCAUUGUAUGGGUCAAGAAUUCAGUCCUCUUAACUGCUGAUUAGUAUUCCAUGGUGUGGAUCACUCAGUGGAUAAAUCACCCUUCUGACCUACUACCUAUAUUGUUAAAUCUGAAGUCACUUUCUUCUAGAUAAGCAUAGAAAGGGCUAUGCUACUUUUAUUCACUCUGCCAAGCUCUUUUAUUAUUACCUUACACAAUUUUUAUUGAUGAUAAAUAUUUAUAUGUUGCUAUUUACAUUUAGCUUUUAAUUAUUUUUGUUUUCUGUUUGUUUUCUGGGUUCUUGCUCCUUUGUUUAGUUUCUUGCUUACUUGCACAACUUUUUAUAUUUAAAGUGUUUUUGAGUGUAUUACUCUAAAGUUGUUUUACUGUUUGCUCUGGGUAUUCUAAUAUAAAUAUAUGACUUGUCACGGUCUACUGAUGGGAACAUUUUAUCAUCUUGUGUUGUGUGGUGUCUCAUUCCAACUUAGGCCCCUUUUCCUUCUUUACCAUAUUUUAUUGGCUUGAGAAUCAGAUAGUGUUCAUUGUUUUCAUAUCUUCUUUCCUUUUGUUGAAAAAAUUUAAACAAUGGUGGUUAAUAAAAAGUACAAACAAAUCAACAGGCAUAUGCUAGUGAAAAACAGGCAACAUAAAACUAAAAAUGCCACUGGUUUCUUUAAUUGGUUAAAAGGAUAAAACUUAACAGGCAUUUAAUUGGCUAACAGCACAAAACAUCAUUUGUUUUAAACAAAUUAAAACGUUGUUAAAAAUUCUCCCUAAGUGAGAUAUGUACACACCCACAAAAGUAGUAUGUGAAGGAAAGCUAUCCUACAUAAGAACUUGUAUCCUGAAUUCUUCAGAGAAAUAGUUGUUGAAAUAGGAAUUAGCACAAAAGCAGCAACAGGUUAACAAUUUUUGAAUACUACAUGGAAAAUGAUACAUGGCCCAAAGUUCUGCUACAUAAAGUAUGACGUCUAAUGAAGGAAAGAUUCUAUAUAGCUUUCAGCAAAAAUGCUUUUCCAGAAAAGCAAAUCCAAACAACACAAUCAGCAGACAAAGGAAGCUACGGCUAGACCUCAGAGCUACAGCUUCUCGAAUCUGUGCUAGAAAGUCCUAUUCAUGCAGGAAGGACUAAAGUUUCAGCGUAAGGAGAGGCAGUUUUAACAUUUCUUACUUUAAGCAUUUUAAAUUGUUUCUCUCCAUCACCUCCUCCACUGAGUAGUGAGCUCUCUGCUUCUUCUCUCCUCGCCAGGUAACUCAACACAUCCAGCAGUAAGAACUCGCUUUUAGAGUUGGCUGCUUUAUUUUCCUUUCUGUAGCAAGACCGUCAUGGAGGCUGGGUACCUCAGGUUCAUGUGCAUCCAUGACCAUCCUACUGUGUGAAAAAAUGAGCAAUGGACUUGGUGGUGAAGGCAGCUUCCAGCUGCUUCUUUAUUCUCCCUCUGAUGAAGGUCAGCUUUGGGGUGUAUUUGUCACCGAAGCUUUUGAGACAGGAGAACAGCUGCCAAGUAUCAUUGGCAUCCAUCCCUGUAGGGUCUAUCUUACGAGCCACAAAGAAAAUGCUCUUCUACUCAUUUGAAGCAUAGAUGGCAGAGUUCCCCUGGUCACCAAACAGGAAGCGACACACAGAGCCCAUGCCGGCUUGGACUCUGGGAAGGGAAGUGUUCAAUUCCAAAUCAAAGUCACUAGGCAAAGAAACAGGAGAUGGGGCAGAUGGUGAGGCCACUGUUGGGGACCAAAACUCUCCACGUACUUGCACUUUUCCUGAAGCACUUUUAUCGCAGAAUCAUCCAAGUGGUUUUCACAGUUGAUCCGUCCCACUUGUCAAGCUUUACAGAAUUAUCACCAAUCUUUCAUAUAUCAAACAAGCUUGUGAGGCCUCUGCCUGUCCUGCAACUGGGGUCGUUACCAGCCCUGGGACUGCCUCUGCCACCACUUCUCUGUCCUGUGCACCACCACUGCCGUCCUGCUCCAGAGAGUGUUGAUAUUUUGUCUCAGUCAUCAAAUAUGAUUUAUAAAGCUCAAGAAGAGGAUGCUCUAUUGUCCAACCCUGCAUUUCUCUUAUUUCUCCUGUUCCUUCUUUCCCAAUGCUUCAGGACUCCCCAUUUUCUCUCUGUUUGUCAAAUUACUUUGGCCAGACUUUAACGUCCUCUGCUAAGGACAAAUUGCUUUAGAUUUCUUUCAUCUGAGGAUGUCUUGCUUUUCUUUUCAUUCCCCAGAGAUAGUGUUCCCAGACAUAAAACUCAUGAUUGAAUUUUUUUCCUUUCAAAUACUCUUAAAUAAUUGGAAAAUGUGCUAUUUUCUUCUGGUCUCUAUUGUUUCAGAUGAGCAAUCUACUGUCAUUUGAAUCAUUUUCCUCCUACAUGUAAUGUGUCAUUUACUUCUAGUUUCUUUCAAGAUUUUCUUUUCCUUUGUCUUGAAACGGAUUUCUCUGGGUUUAUCCUGUUUGAGAUUUACUCACCUCUUUGAAUCUGUAGGUUUAUGUGUAUCAGCAAAUUUGGGGGGCUUUCAAAAACUUUUAAAAUAUUCUUUCACCCCCACCCUCUCCUCUUCUGGGAGUCUAGCUACUCCCUUAUAGCCCUAUGGAUCCCUGAGCCUAUUCAUUUUUACAGUCUAUUUUCUUUCCAUUUUUAGAUUGUUGUUGUAAUUGGACAGAUUGUAUCUUCCAGUUCAGUGACGUUGCCCUCUGUAUCUGUUUUUCUACUGAACCCAUUCAGAAAUUUGUUUGUAAAAUUUCUGCUAUCAUAUUUCUCAGUUUUCUAUUUUCCAUUUGGUUCUUUAUAGUAACUUCUAUUUCUGUGCUGAGAUUUUGUAAAUAUUUUUAUUUGUUUUAAGAGAAUUUUAAAUUGAUUGUUGAAGCACUCACAUGACAGCUGUUUUUAAAUCCUUAUCUGAUAAUUCCAACGUUUUAUUCAUCUGAAGUGUUGAUGUCAGUAAAUUGCCUUUUCUUACUAAUGUGAUUUUCUUACUAAUGUGGUUUUGGCAUAGCGGGUGAAUUUUUUUUCACUAUAUCCUGGACAUUUUGCCUGUUAUGCCAAGAAACUCUGGAUUCUAUUUAAGGCUUUUAUUUCAGUAGGCAGGCACUCUGUAAAGCUUAGCACUCAGGCUCUGGAUUACUUCUGGGGACUAUGGCCCCAGAUCAGUCCUGUUUCAGAGCCUCUGGGCUUCUUGCUUUAUCCCUGGUGUUGGGGCUCUCAAUCUCUGCCUGUGGCAUCUGAGGAGUAGGAUAGGGUCCCCAGCCCUGCUGGGCUACCUGGUUGUCUUUGGGAGGAGGAGGGGAAUCUCAGGCCAUUGGAGACAAAGGGGCCUCCCGGGCUGGGUCUGAAGUCUUUUUGGCCUUCCUCUGCAGGUUCUUCCCAUCCACCAGAUAGGUGGGAGUCCCUUGUUUGCAUUUUCCCUGGACUGUAGCCAUGUGCCAGUCAGCUUUCCAUUACUAUGACUAAUACCUGAGAUAACUCAACUUAAAGAGGAAAAAUCUUUAUUAUGCCUUGCAGAUGAGAGGCUUUGGCCUGGGCUCAGUUGGCCCUGUUGCUUUAGGCCUGUGGUAAGACUGCAUACGGGGGUGGAAAAGCUCAUGGUAGAGCAAGGUAGCUCACCUCAAAGCCUGGGAUGUGAAAAAGAGGCAGAGUCCAGGGUCCCCAAAUCCCCUUUGAUGGCACACCCAGGAUGACCUAAGAAUUCCCAUGAGGCCCCCUCUGAGAUUCCCACUUCCCAGCAGCAUGUGGUGCCUUUGGGGGAUCCAGCCCUGAACACAUGGGUCUUUGGCAGACAUUCCAUAUCCAAACUGCAGGGAGACCAGGCUAAGACCAGGGCCAGCUGUGCUGCGCAGCUGUGGGUCUAGAACUGGCAGAGAAUACACAAGAGGGUGUGAGUGGUGGGGUGGCUCUGCUAUUAUUCUUCAACCCCCAGGGCUCUUUGAAAUGCAGCUUCUCGGUGUGACUCAUCUGGUUAAUGGAAUGCAUGCAGAAAUGAUAAGUAUCACUCACAGGUGGCGGCUUCAAGAGCCACAAGGGUCUUUGUUUUUCACUCUUUCAUCCUGAUUACUGAUGGUGUUUCAGACAGUAGCUGCUCAUCACUCAGCCCACAUUCCAAGGCAGGUGAGGCUGCUGACAGCUCAGAGCACAGCCCCUUCGGACUGUGGAGGGCACAUCAUGAGAGUG
Molecule: long non-coding RNA, 10976 nt
Organism: Heterocephalus glaber (naked mole-rat)
Lineage: Eukaryota; Metazoa; Chordata; Mammalia; Rodentia; Bathyergidae
Source: Ensembl